Stegostoma tigrinum is the source of this 72-nucleotide non-coding RNA. The record is from the annotation of a RefSeq genome assembly. NCBI's taxonomy places the organism in Eukaryota, Metazoa, Chordata, Chondrichthyes, Orectolobiformes, Stegostomatidae.
UCCCCGGUGGUCCAGUGGUUAGGAUUCAGCACUGUCACUGCUGCAGCCCAGGUUUAAUCCCUGGUCAGGGAA